AAGACACUAGUAAAAUUAGAUAUUACUCCUCCUUGUCAAGGGGGCAUUGUGGGUUAAACCCCCGCGUAUCUUA
RNAcentral lists this transfer RNA (73 nucleotides) under Assurger anzac (razorback scabbardfish). RNAcentral's name for it is "tRNA-Asp". It matches the Rfam family "tRNA". From Rfam's summary of the family: Transfer RNA (tRNA) molecules are approximately 80 nucleotides in length. Their secondary structure includes four short double-helical elements and three loops (D, anti-codon, and T loops). Further hydrogen bonds mediate the characteristic L-shaped molecular structure. tRNAs have two regions of fundamental functional importance: the anti-codon, which is responsible for specific mRNA codon recognition, and the 3' end, to which the tRNAs corresponding amino acid is attached (by aminoacyl-tRNA synthetases). tRNAs cope with the degeneracy of the genetic code in two manners: having more than one tRNA (with a specific anti-codon) for a particular amino acid; and 'wobble' base-pairing, i.e. permitting non-standard base-pairing at the 3rd anti-codon position. The record is from RNAcentral. Lineage: Eukaryota; Metazoa; Chordata; Actinopteri; Scombriformes; Trichiuridae. RNAcentral also lists the same sequence under 1 other name.